This 406-nucleotide ribosomal RNA is filed under the name uncultured bacterium. RNAcentral's name for it is "partial 16S ribosomal RNA". It matches the Rfam family "Bacterial small subunit ribosomal RNA", at positions 30 to 526 of the family's 1533-position model. The record is from RNAcentral.
AUUGAACGCUGGCGGCAGGCCUAACACAUGCAAGUCGAACGAGUGGCGGACGGGUGAGUAAUGUCUGGGAAACUGCCUGAUGGAGGGGGAUAACUACUGGAAACGGUAGCUAAUACCGCAUACCAUCGGAUGUUCCCAGAUGGGAUUAGCUAGUAGGUGGGGUAAAGGCUCACCUAGGCGACGAUCCCUAGCUGGUCUGAGAGGAUGACCAGGCACACUGGAACUGAGACACGGUCCAGACUCAACCGGAAGGCAGCAGUGGGGAAUAUUGCAAAAUGGGCGAAAGCCUGAUACAGCCAUGCCGAGUGUAUGAAGAAGGCCGUCGGGUUGUAAAGUACUUUCAGCGGGGAGGCGUUACCCGCAGAAGAAGCAACGGCUAACUCCGUGCCAGCAGCCGCGGUAAUAC